UACGUAGGUGGCAAGCGUUAUCCGGAUUUACUGGGUGUAAAGGGCGUGUAGGCGGGGAAGCAAGUCAGAUGUGAAAACCACGGGCUCAACCUGCGGCCUGCAUUUGAAACUGUUUUUCUUGAGUGCUGGAGAGGCAAUCGGAAUUCCGUGUGUAGCGGUGAAAUGCGUAGCUAUACGGAGGAACACCAGUGGCGAAGGCGGAUUGCUGGACAGUAACUGACGCUGAGGCGCGAAAGCGUGGGGAGCAAACAGG
Molecule: ribosomal RNA, 253 nt
Filed under: uncultured bacterium
Lineage: Bacteria
Description: partial 16S ribosomal RNA
Rfam family: Bacterial small subunit ribosomal RNA
Source: RNAcentral